RNAcentral lists this long non-coding RNA (760 nucleotides) under Oreochromis niloticus (Nile tilapia). RNAcentral's name for it is "lncRNA (ENSONIG00000037908.1)". The record is from RNAcentral. Lineage: Eukaryota; Metazoa; Chordata; Actinopteri; Cichliformes; Cichlidae.
CAAUUCUCACAGGCUCUGCUAUCAUGUCACAACAGACUGAUUAGGCAUGGAGGAGAGGGCAGUAAAGUGGAAGGUAAGGCUGAAGGAAAGAGAAAAGGAAAGGACUGCAACAUUUUAAUGUAAAGCUGAGAAUACAGUGUAUAUAAUCUGCUUCAGGAUCACGUUCCUAAGGUGCAAAGUGCUGCUUGUUCCAUGCAGUAACAGAGAGAUGAAAGAAAGGAGAAACAGGUGAGGGGGUUUGGAGCUGGAGGGAGUGGAGUGAGGGUGUAGGGAGCUUGAGAGUUAGUUUUGUAGAAGUGGAGAAAAUAGCCACUGAAGUAGUAGGUGAAGAAACGGGGAUUUGAGAGAUUUAAGCGAGGAAAAGACAAGAAGAAGUGCAGUAGACAUCGACUUGAAUUUUCCAAAGAAAAAAGUGAUUAUCGUGGUCCAUAGGGAGGAAGGGAAGGCUUACUCAGAAUGGUCUAAUUAAUUUGAACGCUAAUACAAAGAACACAAUAUGAAGUCUCCAACUCUUCUCUCCGGAUGACUGCUCAUGCCAACCACUGUCUCAGCCAGUAUUGCAGAUAAUUUCACAUGCAACAGCGGGAGCAGGAAUCUGGUAUCACAUAAGAACAACAGGGAGGAACUGUCGCAGCAGCCAGGUUUUAUGGUCGUAGAAAAAGGCAUCGCCGGAAGGCAAGAGGCAGAAGAGAGGAAAAUGCAGCUCCAAUUCGAGCUGAGUCUUCUGUGAAUCCUGAGCCGUCUGUUUUGACGGGAACUG